This 798-nucleotide ribosomal RNA is filed under the name Gordonia bronchialis. RNAcentral describes it as "bacterial SSU rRNA". It matches the Rfam family "Bacterial small subunit ribosomal RNA", at positions 100 to 912 of the family's 1533-position model. The record is from RNAcentral. Lineage: Bacteria; Bacillati; Actinomycetota; Actinomycetes; Mycobacteriales; Gordoniaceae.
GAACGGGUGAGUAACACGUGGGUGAUCUGCCCUGCACUUUGGGAUAAGCCUGGGAAACUGGGUCUAAUACCGGAUAUGACCAAACAUCGCAUGGUGUUUGGUGGAAAGCUUUUGCGGUUGGGGAUGGCCCGCGGCCUAUCAGCUUGUUGGUGGGGUAAUGGCCUACCAAGGCGACGACGGGUAGCCGACCUGAGAGGGUGAUCGGCCACACUGGGACUGAGACACGGCCCAGACUCCUACGGGAGGCAGCAGUGGGGSSUAUUGCACAAUGGGCGCAAGCCUGAUGCAGCGACGCCGCGUGAGGGAUGACGGCCUUCGGGUUGUAAACCUCUUUCACCAGGGACGAAGCGUGAGUGACGGUACCUGGAGAAGAAGCACCGGCCAACUACGUGCCAGCAGCCGCGGUAAUACGUAGGGUGCGAGCGUUAUCCGGAAUUACUGGGCGUAAAGAGCUCGUAGGCCGUUUGUCGCGUCGUCUNUGAAAUUCUGCAGCUUAACUGUAGGCGUGCAGGCGAUACGGGCAGACUUGAGUACUACAGGGCAGACUGGAAUUCCUGGUGUAGCGGUGAAAUGCGCAGAUAUCAGGAGGAACACCGGUGGCGAAGGCGGGNCUCUGGGUAGUAACUGACGCUGAGGAGCGAAAGCGUGGGUAGCGAACAGGAUUAGAUACCCUGGUAGUCCACGCCGUAAACGGUGGGUACUAGGUGUGGGCUCCUUUCACGAGAUCCGUGCCGUAGCUAACGCAUUAAGUACCCCGCCUGGGGAGUACGGCCGCAAGGCUAAAACUCAAAGGAAUUG